RNAcentral lists this unclassified non-coding RNA (457 nucleotides) under Hevea brasiliensis (rubber tree). The record is from RNAcentral. Lineage: Eukaryota; Viridiplantae; Streptophyta; Magnoliopsida; Malpighiales; Euphorbiaceae.
GCGAGAGAGGAGCGAGAGCGAGAUCUUGGUCAUUGGCAUUUUCGGCCCAUUCGUACAAAUUUCCCGUACAAUUUCCCAAGACUUUUAAACCCUAUUCGCCCUUUUUCCUUUUCUCUCAUCCUCCAUCUGCCGCCUACUCAGUGCAAUCGCGAUGGAGGACGGCUUUGCAGCUGAAAAGCUCUUCAAUCAGGGAUAUUCCUACACCUACGACGAUGUCAUCUUCCUUCCGCACUACAUUGACUUUCCCACUGACUCCGUCCAACUCGCUACCCGACUCACCCGCAAUAUCUCCCUCUCUAUUCCUUGCGUCUCUUCCCCCAUGGACACCGUCACCGAAGCCUACAUGGCUUCCGCCAUGGCUGCUCUUGGUGGCAUCGGUAUCAUCCACUCCAAUUCCCCUGCGUCCCAACAAGCCGCCAUGGUUCAUGCCGCCAAGGCCCGCCGAGUUCCUAUUUUG